RNAcentral lists this ribosomal RNA (399 nucleotides) under uncultured Acetivibrio sp. Its description in RNAcentral is "bacterial SSU rRNA". It matches the Rfam family "Bacterial small subunit ribosomal RNA", at positions 355 to 768 of the family's 1533-position model. Lineage: Bacteria; Bacillati; Bacillota; Clostridia; Acetivibrionales; Acetivibrionaceae. The record is from RNAcentral.
UGGGGAAUAUUGCGCAAUGGGGGAAACCCUGACGCAGCAACGCCGCGUGAUCGAAGAAGGUCUUCGGAUUGUAAAGAUCUUUUAUCAGGGACGAAGAAAGUGACGGUACCUGAUGAAUAAGCUCCGGCUAACUACGUGCCAGCAGCCGCGGUAAUACGUAGGGAGCAAGCGUUAUCCGGAUUUAUUGGGUGUAAAGGGUGCGUAGACGGGACAACAAGUUAGUUGUGAAAUCCCUCGGCUUAACUGAGGAACUGCAACUAAAACUAUUGUUCUUGAGUGUUGGAGAGGAAAGUGGAAUUCCUAGUGUAGCGGUGAAAUGCGUAGAUAUUAGGAGGAACACCGGUGGCGAAGGCGACUUUCUGGACAAUGACUGACGUUGAGGCACGAAAGUAGUGGGGA